This 2264-nucleotide small RNA is filed under the name Pan troglodytes (chimpanzee). Its description in RNAcentral is "processed transcript". The record is from RNAcentral. Lineage: Eukaryota; Metazoa; Chordata; Mammalia; Primates; Hominidae.
CUUUUACUUUUUGUCUCUGUGGACAAAGGUUUGUACAUCAACUCUGGAUGUAUGGUGACUGUUUGGAAGUACCGAUAUAUUAUCUAAUUCAAAUCACUCUAGAGGCAAUGCAAAGACCGUCACUCUUGGCCAACCACCAAUCCUUUAUGUCCUUCAUGGAGAUUUGGAAAUGUUAGUUCCACACAUGUUGGGGAAUAAAAAAAUAUUCCACAGGGAUCUUUGCAUGAUGGUGUGUAAAAACUUGGUUGAGGAUGUUUUCUUGAUGACAGUGUGUUGCUGUGGUGUGAUGUGCACACUCUACUUGGCAGUCUUGUUUUGUGUCUGUCUGCCAGUAUGUUUUUCUCUGUGUUUUGUGUCUCCAAAUAUAAUCACAUCACUAAAAUAGAACUAAAUGUCCUCCAGCUACCUUAAUCCUUGUCCAAAAUCCAAACUAAACCACAAAACAAACUAAAACAAGAACAACCUUGUGGGCAAAGAUUGCAGUCCAUUGCAAUGGAUUCGAUUGGAAGUGAAAUGUUGAGUAGCUGAGGCAUGGUGGUGGCCAACUGUUUGGGUCUGGAUUAUGAUAUAUCGGUAUUCUCUAAUGCCUCGACUUAAAACUCAUUCGCUUGGUUCGAUUCUUCGCUUGAAGAAGUGACAAUUGUUGAGAGCUUGCUCCUCCACCCCUGUGCCUUGUCACUCACCCUCUCUUUUGCAUAGGCUUAAAUCAAGUGAUGCUUACAAAAAAGCCUGGGGCAAUAAUCAGGACGGAGUGGUGGCCAGCCAGCCAGCUCGUGUAGUGGACGAACGGGAGCAGAUGGCCAUCAGUGGCGGCUUCAUCCGCAGGGUAACAAAUGAUGCCCGAGAAAAUGAAAUGGAUGAAAACCUGGAGCAGGUGAGCGGCAUCAUCGGGAACCUCCGUCACAUGGCCCUGGAUAUGGGCAAUGAGAUCGAUACACAGAAUCGCCAGAUCGACAGGAUCAUGGAGAAGGCUGAUUCCAACAAAACCAGAAUUGAUGAGGCCAACCAACGUGCAACAAAGAUGCUGGGAAGUGGUUAAAUGUGCCCACCCGUGUUCUCCUCCAAAUGCUGUCGGGCAAGAUAGCUCCUUCAUGCUUUUCUCAUGGUAUUAUCUAGUAGGUCUGCACACAUAACACACAUCAGUCCACCCCCAUUGUGAAUGUUGUCCUGUGUCAUCUGUCAGCUUCCCAACAAUACUUUGUGUCUUUUGUUCUCUCUUGGUCUCUUUCUUUCCAAAGGUUGUACAUAGUGGUCAUUUGGUGGCUCUAACUCCUUGAUGUCUUGAGUUUCAUUUUUCAUUUUCUCUCCUCGGUGGCAUUUGCUGAAUAACAACAAUUUAGGAAUGCUCAAUGUGCUGUUGAUUCUUUCAAUCCACAGUAUUGUUCUUGUAAAACUGUGACAUUCCACAGAGUUACUGCCACGGUCCUUUGAGUGUCAGGCUCUGAAUCUCUCAAAAUGUGCCGUCUUUGGUUCCUCAUGGCUGUUAUCUGUCUUUAUGAUUUCAUGAUUAGACAAUGUGGAAUUACAUAACAGGCAUUGCACUAAAAGUGAUGUGAUUUAUGCAUUUAUGCAUGAGAACUAAAUAGAUUUUUAGAUUCCUACUUAAACAAAAACUUUCCAUGACAGUAGCAUACUGAUGAGACAACACACACACACACAAAACAACAGCAACAACAACAGAACAACAACAAAGCAUGCUCAGUAUUGAGACACUGUCAAGAUUAAGUUAUACCAGCAAAAGUGCAGUAGUGUCACUUUUUUCCUGUCAAUAUAUAGAGACUUCUAAAUCAUAAUCAUCCUUUUUUAAAAAAAAGAAUUUUAAAAAAGAUGGAUUUGACACACUCACCAUUUAAUCAUUUCCAGCAAAAUAUAUGUUUGGCUGAAAUUAUGUCAAAUGGAUGUAAUAUAGGGUUUGUUUGCUGCUUUUGAUGGCUACGUUUUGGAGAGAGCAAUCUUGCUGUGAAACAGUGUGGAUGUAAAUUUUAUAAGGCUGACUUUUACUAACCACCAUUUCCCCUGUGGUUUGUUAUCAGUACAAUUCUUUGUUGCUUAAUCUAGAGCUAUGCACACCAAAUUGCUGAGAUGUUUAGUAGCUGAUAAAGAAACCUUUUAAAAAAAUAAUAUAAAUGAAUGAAAUAUAGAUAAACUGUGAGAUAAAUAUCAUUAUAGCAUGUAAUAUUAAAUUCCUCCUGUCUCCUAUGUCAGUUUGUGAAGUGAUUGACAUUUUGUAGCUAGUUUAAAAUUAUUAAAAAUUAUAGACUCCA